UGGGGAAUAUUGGACAAUGGGCGAAAGCCUGAUCCAGCCAUGCCGCGUGUGUGAAGAAGGUCUUCGGAUUGUAAAGCACUUUAAGUUGGGAGGAAGGGCAGUAAGUUAAUACCUUGCUGUUUUGACGUUACCGACAGAAUAAGCACCGGCUAACUCUGUGCCAGCAGCCGCGGUAAUACAGAGGGUGCAAGCGUUAAUCGGAAUUACUGGGCGUAAAGCGCGCGUAGGUGGUUCGGUAAGUUGGAUGUGAAAGGCCCGGGCUCAACCUGGGAACUGCAUCCAAAACUGGCGAGCUAGAGUAUGGUAGAGGGUGGUGGAAUUUCCUGUGUAGCGGUGAAAUGCGUAGAUAUAGGAAGGAACACCAGUGGCGAAGGCGACCACCUGGACUGAUACUGACACUGAGGUGCGAAAGCGUGGGGAGCAAACA
RNAcentral lists this ribosomal RNA (427 nucleotides) under uncultured bacterium. Its description in RNAcentral is "partial 16S ribosomal RNA". It matches the Rfam family "Bacterial small subunit ribosomal RNA", at positions 355 to 774 of the family's 1533-position model. The record is from RNAcentral.